This 253-nucleotide ribosomal RNA is filed under the name uncultured bacterium. RNAcentral's name for it is "partial 16S ribosomal RNA". It matches the Rfam family "Bacterial small subunit ribosomal RNA", at positions 524 to 776 of the family's 1533-position model. The record is from RNAcentral.
UACGUAGGGGGCGAGCGUUGUCCGGAAUUACUGGGCGUAAAGGGUGCGUAGGCGGCCCUUUAAGUCGGAUGUGAAAGCCCGCGGCUUAACCGCGGAAUGGCAUUCGAAACUGGAGGGCUUGAGUGCAGCAGAGGGAAGCGGAAUUCCACGUGUAGCGGUGAAAUGCGUAGAGAUGUGGAGGAACACCAGUGGCGAAGGCGGCUUCCUGGCCCAAUACUGACACUCAUGUGCGACAGCGUGGGGAGCAAACAGG